RNAcentral lists this ribosomal RNA (448 nucleotides) under uncultured bacterium. RNAcentral describes it as "bacterial SSU rRNA". It matches the Rfam family "Bacterial small subunit ribosomal RNA", at positions 329 to 794 of the family's 1533-position model. The record is from RNAcentral.
UGCCAGACUCCUACGGGAGGCAGCAGUGGGGAAUAUUGCACAAUGGGGGAAACCCUGAUGCAGCGACGCCGCGUGAGCGAUGAAGUAUUUCGGUAUGUAAAGCUCUAUCAGCAGGGAAGAAAAUGACGGUACCUGACUAAGAAGCCCCGGCUAACUACGUGCCAGCAGCCGCGGUAAUACGUAGGGGGCAAGCGUUAUCCGGAUUUACUGGGUGUAAAGGGAGCGUAGACGGCUGUGCAAGCCAGAUGUGAAAGCCCGGGGCUCAACCCCGGGACUGCAUUUGGAACUGUGUGGCUGGAGUGUCGGAGAGGCAGGCGGAAUUCCUAGUGUAGUGGUGAAAUGCGUAGAUAUUAGGAGGAACACCAGUGGCGAAGGCGGCCUGCUGGACGAUGACUGACGUUGAGGCUCGAAAGCGUGGGGAGCAAACAGGAUUAGAUACCCGGGUAUU